UACGUAGGUGGCUAGCGUUGUCCGGAUUUACUGGGCGUAAAGAGCGCGCAGGCGGUCGUUCAAGUCGAGUGUGAAAGCCCCCGGCUCAACUGGGGAGGGUCACUCGAUACUGAUCGACUCGAAGGCAGGAGAGGGAAGCGGAAUUCCCGGUGUAGUGGUGAAAUGCGUAGAUAUCGGGAGGAACACCAGUGGCGAAGGCGGCUUUCUGGCCUGCUCUUGACGCUGAGGCGCGAAGGCCAGGGGAGCAAACGGG
RNAcentral lists this ribosomal RNA (253 nucleotides) under uncultured bacterium. RNAcentral's name for it is "partial 16S ribosomal RNA". It matches the Rfam family "Bacterial small subunit ribosomal RNA", at positions 524 to 776 of the family's 1533-position model. The record is from RNAcentral.